CAGCCUAGUUUGUGGAUUUUUAAAUUUCAGAACCAGGAAGACAGCGCUUCCAGCAACCGGUUUGUGCUCCCCAACUCUGUCACACCCCCUUACUGACAUUUGCACGGGUGACCGCGGCCUACGGGUCGUACCAGGACGCCAACAUUCCCUUUCCUAGGACUUCUGGGGCCAGGUUCUGUAGAGCAGGUUACCUGGUGUAUUUCACAAGGCCCAUGACGAUGCAUCGGGCGGUGCCUCCCACAGAGCCUACUCCGAGAUAAUCUAGUGCAGCAGAUAGGAGUGUGGAUUUCAGAGCCAGACUGCUGGGUCCAAAUUUUGGCCCUGUCAUUUUAUGACCUUGAGCAAGUUAUCUUAACUUCAGCUUCAGUUUCUUCAACAGUAACAUGGGGAUGAUUGUAGCACCUACCACCUGCAGUUGCUGGGAAGAUUAAGUUCCUAUAAAAACAUUUUAAAGGCUGGGU
This is a long non-coding RNA of Homo sapiens (human), 461 nucleotides long. RefSeq lists it as uncharacterized. NCBI's taxonomy places the organism in Eukaryota, Metazoa, Chordata, Mammalia, Primates, Hominidae. The record is from RefSeq and is a predicted model, not a curated record. The transcript has 3 exons.